Long non-coding RNA from Dermochelys coriacea (leatherback sea turtle), 10689 nucleotides. RefSeq lists it as uncharacterized. Lineage: Eukaryota; Metazoa; Chordata; Testudines; Dermochelyidae. The transcript has 4 exons. The record is from RefSeq and is a predicted model, not a curated record.
CCAACAGGGCAUUUUAUAAAGGCUUGAAGACAUUUCACCAGCUGAGAAUGAAGAUGAGCUGGAAGUUGGAGUUUAUUAUUCUUGGGGAAUUCAGAGUUUUGCAUUGACCAUGCACAACUGCAAUGGAGAAGUUGUAGGAGAGAAGCUGGAGACUGCAGCAGUGGGGAGGGCACCCAAGCUUUCAGCACCCAAGAAUGCACAACAGAGAGUCAAGACGGUGGCUCUUAUAGGACUUCAUCUGCCCAUUGAAGUCCGUGGAAGACAUUGACUUCCAUGAGUUUUGGAUCAGAUCCAUAUAGUGCUAAAACAGUUGGAUAUAAGAUGCUAAUUUGCAGCACUACAGAAAGACACAGUGUCACUUCAUUGACUUAAACGGAAUUACUUCUGAUUUACACCAAUGUAAAUGCAAUGAGGAUCAAGCCCUUCAAAUAUGGGUCAAAUCUCCUAGCACACAUUCUUCAGCAAGGUGGGUUGCAAUAUAAAACUGAAGAGCCAGCAAUGCGUUACCAGAUGUUCAAGAGCUACAUUAUGGUCCAUAUGUAACCAUAUAUUACAUAUCCAUUGUACUGGCUCAUAUGUGAUAGCGUAUCAUAAUACUGUUGGGGUGACUUACUCAGUAUGGUUUGGAUUUGAUGGUGUUGUCCAAAGAAAUGUUUAGCACAUCCCAUGUCUGCUGAUGUUCCAUAUUAAAGCCAAAUGUACUAACCAAACUACCCUACCAUGCAAAGCAGGUGAGCAUGUGAGAUUGUGGGCAACAGAACACUGAGAAUAUCACAGUGUCAGAAACUGCCAUACGAGCAUCACAAGUUACAGUAUGUGGUGUCUAGAUGCAGUACUGUGAUGACAAGCAAAUAACAAUUAAGAUACAUAGACAGAUGCCCAUUUUCUUAGCACCAGUUUUUUUCACCUAGUUUUGGAUGCUUUGUACUCUUUUAAUCUAAACACACACAUUUCCUCCCCACCCCCCGAAAUCUGUAUUUACUGUGUAAUAAUCCCAUCAAAUGUGUCAUGGGCAGGGCACAUGCACCAUUUUAAUCCAGCCACUGCACAUGUCUGAGAGAGAACGUCAGUAGUCUUUCCUGUGUAAUCUCUGUACCACCUGGCCCACAGCAGCAGCUGUAAACCAAAGACAAAAAAUCUGUGCUUUGCCCUCAAAAUAUAUUGCAGGGGGGCAAGCCAGGGAAGUAUUGUAACCCAUGCCUGCUUGGUGUGAUGCUCUGUCCCCCUCUAGUGGCACCUAGCCCAGCUAGUGAUUGAUGACUCUGCUACAGCCUUGGCUAAGAGAUCUGUUUCUUUUAGUUCAUGCAAUAGAGGCUCAAACACUAAGUUGCAGAGAUCCCACCCGCCGAUGACUGGGUGUGUGUGUGUCUGUCGGUGUUACGGUAACAGGAAACAUUUCUUCCCCCUCCGGACUUGCAAAUAGCCAGGUCAAAGUUACUUUGCAGCACACUGGCUUGAGGAGACAUAGAUGGGCUUUGCAUUCAGCUCCUGCCCACAAUGGUGCAAUAUUCCAUAACAUGGCCAGAGCAACUUUUAAUGUUUGAGUAAUGAACUACUAAAAAUAAAGUAGAAGCUCCUCAGCAGGUAUAAAAAUAAAUAAUAAUACUUUGCACUUGUGCAGUGCAGUGCUGUUUGUCUAAAUAAAGGUGAAGUGACUUGUUCGAGUUCAGUCAGCAAAUCAGUGUCAGCCUCAGGAACACAUCACAUGAUCUUUCCAGGUCUCUUUCCUAGCCACUUUAUCAUGCUCUCUCCUCUCUAAUGAUCAUGUACACAAAAAACAAAAUACUACAAUAGAGGAACCAAAGAUGAUGUUGCCAGAAAUUCCUCCCUCUUUGUGGAUAAUUGCUACCUCUUGUCCUAUAAUGACAAUAAUGUACAUUAAUGUACUAUUAGCGUCUUUCAUUUCAGAGUGUGCUUUAUACAGGAAUUACUUAACUCACCAUCACUGAAAUGCCACCAUAUCUCAGGUAAACAUGGUAACUCACUUUUAUUGUGUCACUGAAAAAUGGCACCGCAAGUAGAACAGGGCAGCUCAGCACCAUACUGGGGCAUUGGUUCAACAAUGUGUCAGAGGGAAGAGUGCUAUUCACUAGGUUAACUAACACCAUUUCUUAGAGGUGUCCCAUCAAAGUUGUUUUCAUGUCCAGCCCUGUUUUUAGUUUUAAGCCUUGACAUGGUAACAAUCUGCAGGCCAUUCAACUAUGUACUGAAACUGGAAUUUCAAAGUUGUUCCAGGGGAGUUAGAUGUCUAACUCCAUUUGGAUGGGUGGCAUUCCUAGUCUCCCAAGGCACUUUUGAAAAUCAAAGUCUAGCUGCCCUCAUAUGAAGUUGAGCAACUGGAGAGGAAAGACUUUCUCUCUCUCUCUAUGCAUAUAUAUAAGGUUUAUGAGACUAUCAUUGUAUUUUAUAUACAUAUAUUUUAGGAUAUGCAAUGAGUUUGUAAUGGUGCUCAUUGGAAUUACUAAUUCUUGACAUAGUGCUUUGGGAAUGAUGAUGAAAAAUAUAGUACAUAGUUAAGUACCAAUUUUGUGUAGCAUCAGAUGUAGCAAAAUAUGGAAUCUUCUCAUUGGUCACAAUUACAGUUUGUGAGAAUACCUACUGGUACUUACAUGAUUGUAGUUAUGCUUCAGGGUCAGUCAGAUAUUUACUGGCCUUCCAAAAGUCUAAACUCUACUCUAAAGGUGACUAAUAUAAUUUUAACUCACCACUUAGCUGAAACCAAUUACAUGAUACAUUAAUUUGUUUUCUAGCUUAAGUACGAGGCUUUCUCUUACUGGUGGAGGUGCAAGAAUUAGGCAUGAAAUAUGUCCUUAAAUAUGAGCAUUGUAUCAUCCAUUUGUCAUAGUGGCACCUUUUUUGGUAGUAUGGAUAAGGGAAGAAACUGGGAUGAAUCGUACUGUAUGUAGUUUGCACUAAAUCUGCCCACUUGUGAACUACUCAGCUUCAGAUCUGUGGACUUGCUAGUAUCCAUCUUUGGGAGGAAAGCAGUAGAGAGAGACUGCCUUAACUUUCAAAAUUUUAUCUCUAAGAACUGUUCCUUCAAGAAUUCUCCCCCCCCACUCCCCGCUUUAGAUUCCUGCAGGGGUUGUGGGGAUGAAGGGGCUUAGGAUAGAACUGCACUUCUAUUCAAAAAGGGUUGAGUUGCUUUAUGAGCAUGAUCCGCCAAUCCGUAAUCAAGGGUUAAUUUCACAGCUCACUGCUUCAUCUAGCAUAAUAUCCAUUCAGACUAAUUAAAUCUGUCUAAUAAUGUGAGUGUCUUUGUCUUUGUUCUUUCCAUUCUUUGUUUUACACCCUUCACAUCUCAUCUCCAGAACUACACGCCAUCACACUCUGCUUGACAAGCAGAAUCCAUCCCUAAAAUUAAAACAUUCCUGACCUAUCUGCGAUGACAAGGCAAGUGAGCUUCACAGCGCUGCGGCCCAUGAAGGGAGCUGACACAUUUGUUUUUAAUUUCAAAAGAGUAGAAAGUGAAGAUCUGACCCCGUCAAUCAGGCCUCGUGACAAGUUUAAUCAUUGCUGCCCCACAAAAAUCACGGCUAAAUAGGAAUGCAAAUAAUGUAUCAGAGGGCUCUUAUAAAUGCUAAUCAAGGAGAAGUAAUCAACUGACAAUUUCACUGAUCUCCUUUCUGAAGGAGUCAGUCAACGCACUGUCUCUGGACCACAAAGAGAAGAAAAGACAAAAGGCAUAGAUGCCGUUUCCCAAAAAAAGUCCUUUUUCAGGGUUUUUUUUCCUUAAAAAAAGAAAGAAAAAAAAAAAAAAAGAAAGAGAACUCACUCUUUUUGAUCCUUCUCCAAACUUUAAAGUGAAGCUGUUUCUCAGGAACUUACAGUUACAUGUCAAGUGUACUUUAUUAACAGUACCCUAUAAGUGUAAAGGAAGCUCACGGAAACUUCUACUAAAAUAAAAAUCAUCAUUUGUCUUUGUCAUUAAUCCAGCUUCAAAUUCUCUCACAUCUUAAAGGAUCCUGUCCUUGUCCAUGGGCAAUGCGUAUAGCAAUAUGUGGAGUUUUAAAAGUAGAAAGCUAAUAGUGGGGAUCACAAUGUUUUAACUUUCUGCUUCCUCCUCCCCUCCCCCGCCCCCAACUUCUGUUUUGAACUUCUGAUAAAAAGGCUAUCUUAAAAGGGAACAAAAAGAACAGGAGUACUUGUGGCAUCUUAGAGACUAACAAAUUUAUUAUUGCUGCCACAAAGUUCUAAAUCAUAAGAGCCUUCUCUUUUAUGAACAUUUAAAUGUGGGUAAGGAACAUAGGGUAUAUGCUUAUGGCACACUUUCAAACAGAAACUCCGCAUAGCAGCAAAUAGUAAUCACUUCAUUUCCUCCUUCCCCUCCACCUCUCAUCCUACCUCCGGGAGACAAUACAAAAGAACCUGAGACAGUAGGAUUUACAGGGUUUUCUGUGCUAUUAACUUUUAUUAUUUGUAUUGUGGUAGCUCCUAAAGGUACCAUCAAGCAUCAGAAUCCCCUUGUGCUGGGCACUACUGUACACACUUAUAACAAAAGGCCACUCCCUGUCCCAUUAAGCUUAGAGCAGAGGGAGCUAAGCAGUACACUGCAGUCUAGACAAACAGCACAUGACAAACUCCUGUGUCUGUCCUGCUUUGAAAUGGGACUAGAUUAACGUGCAUGAGGGAACUUUUAGUGCACAGUAGCAUGGUCCACACAGACAGCGCAUGACACCUUAGUGUGAGGUAGAUAUACAGCCCAGCUUGUCAUGCACCAACUGUUCAUCAAGACAAGCCCAGAGUGUUGCCAGAAGUUGAGCUCUAAAGAAUCAAGUUAAGUUGUCUAGAGGUUUUUGUUAUUACGCUACUUUAUUACAUUGACACAAUAGAUCAAAUGCAACAAGUAUUUGAGGAUACAACCAACACCUUCAGUAGAAACCAAUAUUAAAAUUGUAGAGUGGCUAGAGCUGGGGGUAUAGAUUACCAGAGGGUUUUUAUUUGUUUGUUAUUUUUCAAUUUUUGUUUGAUGCUGGAUUUGGCAGCCCAUGGGAAUUAUAUAGAGAACAGAGACAGCAGCAGUGCUGUUUCUCCAAUCCAGACCUUGCCAGUGUGUCUCAGUCCUGAUUUGGGCAGCACCUCUCAAUAUCAAAGGAUAGCUCAGUCUCUGCAGCCCAUUCAAUCUGGUUUCUUUUGCUAAGGGCUACCAGUAAGGGGGAUUUGAACUUGUAACAGCAGUCCCUGUAUUCCAUGACCAAUGCCCUGAGGCAUCUAACCUCUAAGCAUGGGGGUUAUCUGGAUGUCUAUUAGACCUCAGUGAAAAAAGCUGGUGACCAACAGAAGAGAUGAUUUCAACAGCACGACUCUCUUUAAAGGAGGUGUUUGGAAGAUGGAAGUAGAAAACAAAAGUAGAAAUUGAAAAACACUUUGCUGCUGUCGUGUCACUUAGCAACAAACCUUUCUCCUGCACAGUAGCAUUGGCACAGCGGAGUGACUGCACAAGGUGCACUAGUGAAACCUGGGGAUAAACACAGAUUGUGGGAAGGAAAGAAAAAUGAACUCAUACACCAGCUGAUUAUACUAAGCUUUCAUUCUAAGUUUAGAUUCUUACAUGGCAAGCGCCGUAGGGCUAAGCCUUGGUGCCCCCUAUUGAUUAUGGCUUUCGGGCACUACUGCAAUGUAAAUUAUAAAGACACUUUUUUGGGGAAAACAAAAGUUUAGUAUUAUCUCCUAGAAGAUGAGCCAUUCUUUCUGUUUCCAUUGCCACUCCCCAGUCCCUUUCUAACACCUCGCUCUGAGAUUCUCAGUCUCCUGCUUGCUCUCUCUCCCUUUGGUUGUUGGACUUCCUUCUGCAGAAAUAUACCCCAUUCUUCCAAGUCGGCCAGAUAGUUGAUAAUGGAGUGUGGCUCCUUCUAGCUCUACUACAUGAGUGCUGAGCAGGAAGAAAAGAAGUUGUGUUUAGUUCCACUAUGUGGAAGAGAUGGCAGGGUCUUGCUUGAAAGUAAUGUACUUGCUCCCUGCAAGGUACAGUAGUUGGUAGAAUACUCUGUACCAGAAAGAGGGACACCUAUCAGGUCACCUUUGAAGGGAUGAACAGGGAGAGAAAUGAGGCUCCUGUCCAUUAAACUAGAUUACUCUCCUCCUUGCCCUCACAUGGGGUGAGAGCGCCACUGUGAUGAGCUUCAAAGUGGUAAAGAUCUGAAGUUGAUCCCAUCACACUGUAUGCCAAGAGACUUGUUGGAGGGCUGGUCAUCAUGGGGCACAAGAGGACCCUACUCUCCAUGGAUUCAAAAUGUCAUUAAGCUGAUAGAGAAUCUUUAACGUGGGAAGGAGUGAAACUGCAGGGACAGGUUUGAGAGUGUAAAGCACUGCAAAGAAUAUGAAAUACCACACAAAUAUAGCAUCAGUCUGUGCUAAAUAAAUAACAUGCCUUACUGAACAGCCAUGCAGUGUUGCUUAUUGUACAAUUAUAAAUCAUUCAAAUGGGAAGGAAAAAUCAGAAUCCAUCACUGUGGGCUUGUGUUCCUCUCUCUCUUGUUGCAAUUACUAAAAGUGAUUAUUGUAUGUGGAACUGUUUUAAAUGCAUUUAUAGAGAUCUGGGCAUGACCUAAUGGUCUGAGCACAUGAUCAGGAACUCCUGAGUUUUAUUUCCUUUACGGCCUUAGGAAAGUCAGUUAGGCCAAAGUAGAUACUAUUCCAGUAUGCCUUAAUUUUUGGGUAUACAAACUGCAGGCCUGAUUUUUAGAGGUGCUGAACAUGUACAGUACACAUUGACUUUUGCUGGGGAUGUUGGUGCUUAAUGCCUCUGAAUAUACUAGUACAUAAUUGGUGGCAAACAAAUGUUAAAACUAAGCAGCUAAUCAAAUACACACUCUCCCGCUGAGCGUGCAUGUAUACACACACACAUAUGCACACACACAUAUUCAAGUCUCCACAAUGAAUUCUAAAUAAACCUUGCCCAACAGAGAAGAAUCUCUAGUUUCUACUACUGAAAUUUCAUGUUAGCAGCUGCUAAGUAGCAAAGAAAGAUAACCUUGGUGAUCAGGCCAGAGAACACAUCCAGUGCUUUUAAGUAGGUUUCCCUGGAGGAAAAACAACAGGAAGCUGCUUGAGCAGCCUAGCAUCAGAGUGCUGCCAUCCCACUGCUGGCUAGUAUUGGCAUUGUGAGGAUUCAGGGAGCAAACUUUAGUGAAGCUUUUGCUGCCCACUGUGGUGAGAAGAGGCCUAAAGAAAAGUGGAGAACGUGAAUGGGAUUUUGGAACAAAUGGGACUCAAUAGUAUUGAUUCAUAGCAGCAUUCAGAUUUUAUGGCGAUAGACGUGAUAAAAAUUCCAAGCCCAUUUGGGAUCAGUUCAUAUUGCGGAUUGUUCUUGUAAUGAAUUUAGGCAGAUAACCUGGCACACCACAACUGUAGGCCAUAUUUAGUCUUGUACUAUAGUGUAAAGCAAGAAAGCAGAAUUGGAAGCAAAUUCUUUCUAAUAUUCAAAUAAUUACACUUGAUAUUCAUUGUUAACGUCUGCCAGUCUCAAUUCUUCCCUCAGCAUGUAUGCACAGCUCCCAUUAAAGCUAAUGGUGAAUUACUGGGCUCGGGGUCGUAAAUGACCGAAUAAUUCACCAUUGGUUUUAAUGGGAGUUGUGCAUAUAUACUGAGAGGAGAAUUGAAAUCGUCAGACUUUAUAUAUAAUCCGCACUUGGUAUUCAUUGUUAAAGUCUUGCCGUUGCUUUGGAAUAUUUUGGUAGCCUAUGCUAGGGACCAGCAGAGCUCCUUUACAAUAGUGCCAUCCAUUAGAUGUAAUGAUGACCAAAGCUAAAUAAACAUCAGAGCAAACCUUUUUGUAAAUUUCAGCCUCUAAGAGACUGAUUUAAGAGAUGUAAAUGGGACUUGCACAAUUCAUCACAAAACAGGGAGUCUAAUUAUUUGUAUCAAACUCUCUUCUUUACUCAGAUAUUUUAAUGCCUAAUGGGGAAAAGUCAAUUCUACUACAAAAAAUAAAUUCAGUAUAGUCCAUAAGCCCAUGUGAAAAAAUAAUUAUCAAUAUUAUUAGCUUAUAUAAAAUAUACAUACAUAUGUGUAUGUUACAAUUUAUUAAAUAUAUGUGACAAAUAAAAUAUAAAAUAUGGCAUGACUCACUAUAUUUAUUGCAUCAUAUAAUUUUAAAAUAUCAUAGGAAAUUGGGCAAUUUUGUAUUAUUCUUAUAAAUGUACUUAUAAAACCUAAUAUCGAGAGGAAUGGUCUUGUAGCUAAGGUACUGAAAUGGUGAGAUUCAAGCAAUCUGGGGUGAAAUCCUGGCACCUUUGAAGUCAAUGGGAGUAUUGCUUCUGACUUCAAUAGGAACAAGAUUUCACCCCUGAGUUCUACUCCCAAUUCUGCUAUGCACUUUGUGGCUACACACUACCAAAUCACUUAAUCUCUCUGUGCCUGAUCCCUGAUUGUAAAAUGGGGAGACUACUACUUUUAUCCAUACUUUGGCUGUCUCAUCUAUUUAGACUGUAAAGUUUCUGGGCAGGGACUGUCUCCUAUGAUGUGUCUGUACAGCACCUAGCACAAUGAAGCCUGAUCCUGAUUUUUGGCCACAAAGUGCUACUGUAAUAUACAUGUAUAACUGAAGAUAUUUUCCAUAGGACAAUAUAGGAGAUCCUUUAUGGAAAGGAUCCUUUGCGGCAGUCUUACUCUAAUCUUUAAUUUGGAAUAAAGAAAUCAACAGUGAAGAAUUCAACCCCCUAUUAUCCUAUUGAAAAUAAAUAAUUUUAAAUUGAUUCACCAUGAAAAGCUACUCCUAAAUAAAAGUUUGAGGGUUGCAUAUAGGAGAUUUCAAGAGAGUGUGCAAUGGAGGAAUGUUAUCUUAUCCUGAAAUAAAAAUAAAUUAGGAAAAAGCAAAUGUGGUGAAAAAUAAUCUCUACACUUCCUAAAACCAUAUACAGCAAAUGUUUUUCAUUAUUUUUCUCUCAUACUGAACUUUAAAAGCUACAAAUUUAUCUACAAGGUCUGGAGUCACUCUUCAAAAAGGUCUGCCUAGUGUCAUUCAAUCUCUACUGAAUUCCAUGGUACCUGGCAGUGAAUGAUUUUAGUGAGGACUUCAAAGAUCAUGUUUUCUCAAUAAGUAACAUAUUUCCUUCUAUCGAACUCCAAAGGAAACUGAUCAAUCUAAUCUCUAUAGAUUUAAAUCAAAAAUAGUCCAUGAUAACAGUGUGUCAUAAACCAAUACUUCUUUGUCAACAGGAUACACCGAAAGCAAUGCCUCAGUCUUUUUGUUGUUGUUUUUACUUAAGCUGAUAAGAAAGUUAGUCCUGUAGUUGAUUAAGUUCUUCAGAAAUUGGGCUUGUGAUGAAUCAUUAAACAAAGACAUUUUUUUCCACAGCAAUAAAGCCUCAAAUGAUUAAUUAAGGGCACAAUGCCAAAACCAGUGUCUUUGUUUAAAACGCAGUGGACAAGACAGGCUUGGGAAAGUUGAUGUCUUAAGUAGACGCCACAACAUGUUUUUAAUUAUGUUCAGGAAGAAGAACAAGAAUGGGAAUUGCCAACUGUUUGGAAAGAUCUUCUUUUUUUUUUUUUUGAAGAAAGAUUAGAAUAAAAAAAAUCAAACAGAGCAUUAUUGAUUUAACACAAAUGCCAUUUGUUGGGCCUUUUGUAAUUUCCUUAUUAGUGUCAUCAUUCUGGAGUUCAUAUGCUCCCUUCUGUUAUAGCAUUUGGCACACAUUCAGCUCCCAGCAAUAUGAUACAGUAAACAUGCAGUGACUGCUCAUAUUAAAAUGUUUUAUUUCUUGUAACUGUACCAAUGAUCAGGCAGUAUAUGUCCUAAAUUAUCCCAACCAUUUCACAAGCUAAUUUGAAAGGAAGUAGCAAGUGACCAUCUCUGCAAAACAGACACACACAGGUUGAAAAGUGCAGAGCCAGUGCUGUCAGUUGGAAACAAAACAAAAAGUUCACGCAACAUCAGUUCUCCACAGCUUCUUGUCAGUUGCGUUCAGACUGUUCAAAUAGAAGACAUAAGCUGGAAUCAAGAGCUGUGCAGUAUGAUAGAUUGUUGUACUGACACCCGUUUUCAUGUGUUACUUCAUGUUUAUGGUGCAAUAUACCCCCGCCCCUGCAUCCUCAAUUUGUUUGGGAACUCAACUUUUCUAAAGCCCUCCAUUUUGUGGAAGCUGUAGAAGUGGCUACCUCAAGCCUGUUCUGAAAUCCCAAAACACAAAUGUAAGAAGUGAUUUUGCUUGCAUCAGUAUUUGCGUGUGAAUUUAGGAUGCUCCAAAUGGGCCUGAUUUUUAGAGGACAAAUACUCAGAACUUUCUGAAAAGGAGACACUCCCAAAUAUAAACUAAAUCAGAUAACAAGAAUAUGAACAAUAGGGAUUUACAGUUCUAUAGCACCUUUCAUCCCACAAGAUGCCAAAGAGCUUUGGAAAUUCUGGGCCUUAAAACCUGCAAAUGCUUGUUCCUGCAGCUGCCUUUCUCCUUUAUGUGUGCAACUGCUGCCACUGUGCUUGCAAACGGCCAAUUAAACAGGGAGGAAGCGAUAGUUAUCAUGCUAAAAGUCCUGGGCAUAAUUUCUUUUUCCCGCUGACUGAUGUCAAAUGUGGCAGAGGCUUUACUAACAUGAAGUUCAGUUACUUCAUAAGGGUCUUGUUCUGCCCUUUACCUUUAUGUAAACCUCCCAAUGUCAUCAGUGGUGGUUGCUGUGAACCAAGGCUAGCAUAUGACCCUAAUUAUGUAGCACCAGCCCAUGGAUCAUAAUUAAAAAUGUAAUUUGGCCCUC